Non-coding RNA from Cherax quadricarinatus, 373 nucleotides. Lineage: Eukaryota; Metazoa; Arthropoda; Malacostraca; Decapoda; Parastacidae. The record is from RefSeq and is a predicted model, not a curated record.
AUGCUUCUGAAAGCAAGUCUUGGAGUGAAAUGUGGUGCACUUGCAGAAAGUUUUAUAUUUAUACUGUUGUAUUUUUUAAGACAUCCACCCAAAGUUUUUAUGUAUAAAAUUUUAAAUGAUUCUUAGCAUUUAAGCUAUGUGCAGUAUUCUAGAGGUCUAUUUCAUUUAAAAUUACAGUAUUGUUUAUGAAACUUGAAAUAUCUACAGUUUCUGUAUAUUUUACAGUGGAGGAAGAAGCGUAUGCGCAGGCUUAAGAGAAAGCGCAGGAAGAUGCGUGCGAGGUCGAAGUAAACCAUUGCUUGCCCCCUUUGCUAGGUGAUUGUUGAAGAAGUCUACCAUCCUUUAAUAAGUUUCAAUAAAUUCUAAGAAGGGU